GAGGGUAUAGCUCAGUGGUGGAGUGUGUGCUUGGUGUGCAUGAGGUCCUGGGUUCAAUCCCCAGCGCCUCUG
Molecule: transfer RNA, 72 nt
Filed under: Camelus bactrianus (Bactrian camel)
Lineage: Eukaryota; Metazoa; Chordata; Mammalia; Artiodactyla; Camelidae
Also listed under: 1 other name
Rfam family: tRNA
About the family: Transfer RNA (tRNA) molecules are approximately 80 nucleotides in length. Their secondary structure includes four short double-helical elements and three loops (D, anti-codon, and T loops).
Source: Rfam by way of RNAcentral